Salvia splendens (bonfire salvia) is the source of this 1481-nucleotide long non-coding RNA. RefSeq lists it as uncharacterized. The transcript has 2 exons. The record is from RefSeq and is a predicted model, not a curated record. Lineage: Eukaryota; Viridiplantae; Streptophyta; Magnoliopsida; Lamiales; Lamiaceae.
AUAAAAAAAAAUUAAGGCAGCCCACUUCACUUAUUUAAUUUACUAAGGCCCAAACCAAACAAUUAAAGUGGUCCAACCUUUAAUUAAUUUAAUGGUCCAACUAAUUAAAUGAAAAAAAAAGCAUAAAGCCUAUCCUCCUCCACUCAACCAUCGGUUCUCAUCUCAUCUCUCUCUCUUUCCUCAAAAUCCCCAAUUCACUCACUUUUCCAAAUUAGGGAUUCAUAGAUUGAGAAGAAGCAGUUGCAGUUCCUCCUUCCACCUCGUCUCUCUCUCUUCUCUUUUCUCCCUCGUCGCCGUACCGCCGCCACCACCGCUGCGGAUCCACUCCCGCCGCGGAUCUGCCUCAGUCGCCGUCGCCGAGGGCCUCCCCAGCCUCCUUGGAUCCCGCUAUCACCUCGUGCAGCUCCUCCCGCCGCCGUGCGCGUCGCUGCCGCCGUCCCUCCUGCCGGCGCCACUUGCCUCCGUCGGCUCAUCUGCUGCGGCCGCCUCAGCCCCCCUCUCUCCCGAAUCUGCCGCCGCCGCUUCUUCUCCACGCCUCGCGCUGCAGGAGCAGCUCCCCAAAGCCACCACAGUCGCCACCUCCUCGCCGGAUUCCCGAAAGGUUGUGAAAUUAGUGACGUAUUGGGGUGUGGGGCUGUCCUCGUCGUCUCCGGGCUGCCAAAGACCCAUCGCCGGAAAUCCGGCAGAUUCUUAUUCGAGAGAUAAGUUUUCUUUUGUUUUCAUUCUCUCUAGUUAAUUUAAGUGGUAGGAUUUUAGUUGUUGUAUUUACUGAAUUUGACGAAUUUGGAUAUUAUGGAUCAUGUCUACUUCUUGAUAUUGUUGGUGUCACUUAUGCAAAUUCUAGAUUAAGAUGUAUGCAUGAUUCGUAUGUGUAAAGAGAAGGGGUUCUUGGAGUUUACCUUUUGAUGGUGAAAAAAAGUGUGGCUGGAUUAAGGACUUAAGAUGGAGUUUAUCUGCAACUCUCCUUCUGUUCCAUGUGGAAUUUUUUUUUUUUGAAAGUUUGAUUCUUACGUGGCUGGGUGAAAAAAAAUUGUAGGUAUAUAUACAUGUGUAUAUAAAAAAAAACAGCAUGAGACGUUGGCAACAAGUUUGUUGGCAGCAAGUUGCCAACAUUCUUCCCCCUUAAUCAUUCUCAUUUUGUCAGAACAUUUAAUGCACUCUCUCCUAACAUUUAAUGUUGUAGUAAAUGAGAUGUCACAAUAUCCAUGACAUAUCUAUCUUAAAUAAAUAAUGUGUCACAAUAUCUAUCUGAUUUAUUGCAUUAGAUUAUUCAUUUGGAAAGAAAACUUUAUUUGUUUAUUUGUUUGAUUUGGUGCAGGAAAAUCCAAUUCCAGUUCGGAGCUACUCUUGUUGAUGUACCCGAUUUUCUUUAGAACUAAAGAUGUAUUAAUUUAAAUUUUUGUUGGACUUUUAUCUGAUGUAUCAGACAUUAAAAUAUUGAUCAUGAGACUUUAUUUAUUUAUUUAAAUUUAUUAUAUUCA